AUCCAUAAAAAAAAAUCAUUAUUUUCGAAAAAUAACAGAAUGAAUAACUGGAAAAAAAAUCUUAGGAAAAAAUAUCCCAUCCUGAAAAUAAUUCCCCUGAAAGUAAUUCCCCUGAAAAUAAUUCCCCGGAAAAAAUGAGCAGAUCCGGGUCAAAAAAUGAUAUGAAUUUAUGCCGGGCCAAAAUAAAAAAUCUGAGCUGGUCAUAAUAUUUUGCAUAGUAUCAGAGAGACUAGGUGUUGAUAUGAACUUUAACUAUUACAUGGACAAAAAACAUGCAAACAUUGAUGUUAUAUAAUGUUGAUCUAAGGUAGAAUUAAUAAUUUUUCAAAUAUAUUUUAAUUUAUA
Long non-coding RNA from Gordionus sp. m RMFG-2023, 345 nucleotides. RefSeq lists it as uncharacterized. Lineage: Eukaryota; Metazoa; Nematomorpha; Gordioida; Chordodea; Parachordodidae. The record is from RefSeq and is a predicted model, not a curated record. The transcript has 3 exons.